RNAcentral lists this ribosomal RNA (425 nucleotides) under uncultured bacterium. RNAcentral describes it as "bacterial SSU rRNA". It matches the Rfam family "Bacterial small subunit ribosomal RNA", at positions 355 to 796 of the family's 1533-position model. The record is from RNAcentral.
UAGGGAAUAUUGCGCAAUGGGCGAAAGCCUGACGCAGCAACGCCGCGUGGGGGAUGACUGCCUUCGGGUUGUAAACCCCUUUCAGCAGGGACGAAAUUGACGGUACCUGCAGAAGAAGCCCCGGCCAACUACGUGCCAGCAGCCGCGGUAAUACGUAGGGGGCGAGCGUUGUCCGGAAUUAUUGGGCGUAAAGAGCUCGUAGGCGGCUAAGCAAGUCGGGUGGGAAAUCUCCAGGCUCAACCUGGAGCCUUCGCUCGAUACUGCUUUAGCUCGAGUCCGGUAGGGGAGUGUGGAAUUCCCGGUGUAGCGGUGAAAUGCGCAGAUAUCGGGAGGAACACCGGCGGCGAAGGCGGCACUCUGGGCCGGUACUGACGCUGAGGAGCGAAAGCGUGGGGAGCAAACAGGAUUAGAUACCCCCGUAGUCC